RNA transcript from Phalaenopsis equestris, 786 nucleotides. RefSeq lists it as uncharacterized. NCBI's taxonomy places the organism in Eukaryota, Viridiplantae, Streptophyta, Magnoliopsida, Asparagales, Orchidaceae. The transcript is spliced from 2 exons. The record is from RefSeq and is a predicted model, not a curated record.
UUGAAGAGAUUGAACGGGGAAAUAGACCAACGACCCAUUUCAAUAAAGAAGGGUGGCAAAACAUUAUAAAAAAUUUCAAGGAAUGUACAGGCAGAGAAUAUGACAGGUUGCAAAUGAAAAACAAGUGGGACCAAAUGAAGAAGGAAUGAAAAAUAUGGAAGGAAUUGAAAAAGGGUUCUACCGGUCUUGGUUGGAAUCCAAUAAAGCGAACAGUUGAUGCACCCGAGGAAUGGUGGGCUGAAAGACUUGCGGUGGUGCCUGCUGCAAAAAAGUUUAAACUUUCUGGAAUUGAGCCUGAAUUAGAGGAGAAACUAGACCGCAUGUUUGGGGGAGUGGUUGCAACGGGGAACUAUGCAUGUAGCCCAAGCGAGAUAGGGUUCGCUGGCAAUGUCGUGAAUUUGGGAACCCCUGGAGGUUCAGUUGGUUUCAUUGACGUCCCCAGCACAGAUCAGAACGAAUAUGAAACUAUUUCCCGUUCCAAACGUCCGAGGGUUGUUGAUAAAAGAAAAUAUGGUGCUUCUUCUCUCAGAAACGAGUUAUCCGAGGCAGUUUCUUGUUUGAAAGCAGAAUGUCAGUCUUCUCAUUCAAGCACAAUCGCAGAGACACUUGAAAUCCUAAGUGCUACAGCCAAAAUUUAUGCAGAUGAAGAGUUGUAUCUGUUCGCAGCAGAAUUGCUAGAAGACCCGGUCCGUAGGGAUUUCUUCGUGCAGAUGCCUGCCGCCCGCAGAGUGGCAUAUAUUUGGCGUUUUUACAAUCGUUUGAACAAUUGAUAUAUUUUCUAUUUUU